RNAcentral lists this transfer RNA (72 nucleotides) under Anaerolinea sp. RNAcentral's name for it is "tRNA-Met". It matches the Rfam family "tRNA". From Rfam's summary of the family: Transfer RNA (tRNA) molecules are approximately 80 nucleotides in length. The record is from RNAcentral. Lineage: Bacteria; Bacillati; Chloroflexota; Anaerolineae; Anaerolineales; Anaerolineaceae.
GGGUGUGUAUUUCAGCGGCAGAAAAACCGUCUCAUAAACGGUAAGUCGCCCGUUCGAAUCGGGCCACACCCA